UGGAGCACGCCGCGUGUGUGAUGAAGGCUUUCGGGUCGUAAAGCACUGUUGUAUGGGAAGAACAGCUAGAAUAGGGAAUGAUUUUAGUUUGACGGUACCAUACCAGAAAGGGACGGCUAAAUACGUGCCAGCAGCCGCGGUAAUACGUAUGUCCCGAGCGUUAUCCGGAUUUAUUGGGCGUAAAGCGAGCGCAGACGGUUGAUUAAGUCUGAUGUGAAAGCCCGGAGCUCAACUCCGGAAUGGCAUUGGAAACUGGCUAACUUGAGUGCAGUAGAGGUAAGUGGAACUCCAUGUGUAGCGGUGGAAUGCGUAGAUAUAUGGAAGAACACCAGUGGCGAAGGCGGCUUACUGGACUGUAACUGACGUUGAGGCUCGAAAGUGUGGGUAGCAAACAGGAUUAGAUACCCUGGUAGUCCACACCGUAAACGAUGAACACUAGGUGUUAGGAGGUUUCCGCCUCUUAGUGCCGAAGCUAACGCAUUAAGUGUUCCGCCUGGGGAGUACGACCGCAAGGUUGAAACUCAAAGGAAUUGACGGGGACCCGCACAAGCGGUGGAGCAUGUGGUUUAAUUCGAAGCAACGCGAAGAACCUUACCAGGUCUUGACAUCCUUUGAAGCUUUUAGAGAUAGAAGUGUUCUCUUCGGAGACAAAGUGACAGGUGGUGCAUGGUCGUCGUCAGCUCGUGUCGUGAGAUGUUGGGUUAAGUCCCGCAACGAGCGCAACCCUUAUUGUUAGUUGCCAGCAUUCAGAUGGGCACUCUAGCGAGACUGCCGGUGACAAACCGGAGGAAGGCGGGGACGACGUCAGAUCAUCAUGCCCCUUAUGACCUGGGCUACACACGUGCUACAAUGGCGUAUACAACGAGUUGCCAACCCGCGAGGGUGAGCUAAUCUCUUAAGUACGUCUCAGUUCGGA
This 916-nucleotide ribosomal RNA is filed under the name Leuconostoc mesenteroides. RNAcentral's name for it is "bacterial SSU rRNA". It matches the Rfam family "Bacterial small subunit ribosomal RNA", at positions 387 to 1297 of the family's 1533-position model. Lineage: Bacteria; Bacillati; Bacillota; Bacilli; Lactobacillales; Lactobacillaceae. The record is from RNAcentral.